RNAcentral lists this ribosomal RNA (406 nucleotides) under uncultured bacterium. RNAcentral describes it as "partial 16S ribosomal RNA". It matches the Rfam family "Bacterial small subunit ribosomal RNA", at positions 29 to 526 of the family's 1533-position model. The record is from RNAcentral.
AUUGAACGCUGGCGGCAGGCUUAACACAUGCAAGUCGAGCGAGCGGCGGACGGGUGAGUGAUGUCUGGGAAACUGCCUGCUGGAGGGGGAUAAAAACUGGGAACGGUAGCUCAAAACGCACACCCUCAGAUGUACCCCGAUGGGCAUAGCUAGUGGGUGGGGUAAUGGCUCACCUAGGCGAAGAGCCCGAGCGGAUCUGAGAGGAUGACCAGCCACACUGGAACUGAGACACGGUCCAGAUGCCUACGUGAGGAAGAAGUGGGGAAUAUUGCACAAUGGGCGAAAGCGUGAGGCAGCCAUGCCGCGUGGGUGAAGAAGGCCUUCGGGUUGUAAAGCACUUUCAGCGAGGAGGCGUUACUCGCAGAAGAAGCACCGGCUAACUCCGUGCCAGCAGCCGCGGUAAUAC